AUUGAACGCUGGCGGCAUGCCUUACACAUGCAAGUCGAACGGCAGCACGGGUGCUUGCACCUGGUGGCGAGUGGCGAACGGGUGAGUAAUACAUCGGAACAUGUCCUGUAGUGGGGGAUAGCCCGGCGAAAGCCGGAUUAAUACCGCAUACGAUCUACGGAUGAAAGCGGGGGACCUUCGGGCCUCGCGCUAUAGGGUUGGCCGAUGGCUGAUUAGCUAGUUGGUGGGGUAAAGGCCUACCAAGGCGACGAUCAGUAGCUGGUCUGAGAGGACGACCAGCCACACUGGGACUGAGACACGGCCCAGACUCCUACGGGAGGCAGCAGUGGGGAAUUUUGGACAAUGGGCGAAAGCCUGAUCCAGCAAUGCCGCGUGUGUGAAGAAGGCCCUCGGGUUGUAAAGCACUUUUGUCCGGAAAGAAAUCCUUGGUUCUAAUAUAGCCGGGGGAUGACGA
This 454-nucleotide ribosomal RNA is filed under the name Burkholderia cepacia. RNAcentral describes it as "bacterial SSU rRNA". It matches the Rfam family "Bacterial small subunit ribosomal RNA", at positions 30 to 475 of the family's 1533-position model. The record is from RNAcentral. Lineage: Bacteria; Pseudomonadati; Pseudomonadota; Betaproteobacteria; Burkholderiales; Burkholderiaceae.